This 396-nucleotide ribosomal RNA is filed under the name Triticum aestivum (bread wheat). Its description in RNAcentral is "partial small subunit ribosomal RNA". The record is from RNAcentral. Lineage: Eukaryota; Viridiplantae; Streptophyta; Magnoliopsida; Poales; Poaceae.
AUGUGGAUCAUAUCUUGGAUGAUCUUCCUCUGUCCUCCCCCAAAUAUUGGCAGCUGCUCUUCCCUUUUGAUUCUCUCCAGAUGUGUUCUGCGCUGUGGUGUGUUACAGGAGAUCUGUGGAGGGGUUAGGGUAGUUGAGUUUGGGUCCUUGCGUAGGAUGCAAAUUGAAGGGCAGUUGUUUCCUGUUUUCUCUCUUUUUGUUAGGCGCAGGUGUUUUGUGGUUCAGGAGGGCCUUGUUAGUUGCGUAGUUGAGCAGGAAUCGGUUCUAUUUUGGUUUAGUGAGAAUCGGGUCAGAAUAUUUAGCCCGAUCCGUUUUGUUGGACAUAUAAACAUACGAUUGUCGGCCUUGUUUGGACAUACAGGUGUCAUAUGUUUAUUUGUCAGGAAAUUUGACUGA